Molecule: ribosomal RNA, 793 nt
Filed under: uncultured archaeon
Lineage: Archaea
Description: bacterial SSU rRNA
Rfam family: Archaeal small subunit ribosomal RNA
Source: RNAcentral
ACGGCUCAGUAACACGUGGAUAACCUGCCCUUGGGUCCGGCAUAACUCCGGGAAACUGGAGAUAAUUCCGGAUAACGCACAUAUGCUGGAAUGCUUUAUGCGUAAAAUGGAUUCGUCUGCCCAAGGAUGGGUCUGCGGCCUAUCAGGUAGUAGUGGGUGUAAUGUACCUACUAGCCUACGACGGGUACGGGUUGUGAGAGCAAGAGCCCGGAGAUGGAUUCUGAGACAUGAAUCCAGGCCCUACGGGGCGCAGCAGGCGCGAAAACUUUACAAUGCGGGAAACCGUGAUAAGGGGACACCGAGUGCCAGCAUCAUAUGCUGGCUGUCCAGGUGUGUAAAAUACACCUGUUAGCAAGGGCCGGGCAAGACCGGUGCCAGCCGCCGCGGUAACACCGGCGGCCCGAGUGGUGAUCGUGAUUAUUGGGUCUAAAGGGUCCGUAGCCGGUUUGGUCAGUCCUCCGGGAAAUCUGAUAGCUCAACUAUUAGGCUUUCGGAGGAUACUGCCAGACUUGGAACCGGGAGAGGUAAGAGGUACUACAGGGGUAGGAGUGAAAUCUUGUAAUCCCUGUGGGACCACCUGUGGCGAAGGCGUCUUACCAGAACGGGUUCGACGGUGAGGGACGAAAGCUGGGGGCACGAACCGGAUUAGAUACCCGGGUAGUCCCAGCCGUAAACGAUGCUCGCUAGGUGUCAGGCAUGGCGCGACCGUGUCUGGUGCCGCAGGGAAGCCGUGAAGCGAGCCACCUGGGAAGUACGGCCGCAAGGCUGAAACUUAAAGGAAUUGGCGGGGGAG